CGCAAGCCUGACGGAGCAAGACCGCGUGGGGGACGAAGGUUUGUGGAUUGUAAACCCCUUUUGAUUGGGAAGAAGUUCUGACGGUACCAAUCGAAUCAGCAUCGGCUAACUCCGUGCCAGCAGCCGCGGUAAUACGGAGGAUGCAAGCGUUAUCCGGAAUUAUUGGGCGUAAAGCGUCCGUAGGUGGUUAAUCAAGUCAGUUGUUAAAGCGUGGGGCUUAACCCCAUAAAGGCAAAUGAAACUGAUUGGCUAGAGUGCGAUAGGGGCAAGGGGAAUUUCCAGUGUAGCGGUGAAAUGCGUAGAUAUUGGAAAGAACACCGGUGGCGAAAGCGCCUUGCUGGGUCUGCACUGACACUGAGGGACGAAAGCU
Molecule: ribosomal RNA, 370 nt
Filed under: uncultured cyanobacterium
Lineage: Bacteria; Bacillati; Cyanobacteriota
Description: bacterial SSU rRNA
Rfam family: Bacterial small subunit ribosomal RNA
Source: RNAcentral